RNAcentral lists this ribosomal RNA (301 nucleotides) under uncultured bacterium. Its description in RNAcentral is "partial 16S ribosomal RNA". It matches the Rfam family "Bacterial small subunit ribosomal RNA", at positions 509 to 807 of the family's 1533-position model. The record is from RNAcentral.
CAGCAGCCGCGGUAAUACGUAGGGUGCAAGCGUUAAUCGGAAUUACUGGGCGUAAAGCGUGCGCAGGCGGUUUCUUAAGUCUGAUGUGAAAGCCCCCGGCUCAACCGGGGAGGGUCAUUGGAAACUGGGAAACUUGAGUGCAGAAGAGGAGAGUGGAAUUCCACGUGUAGCGGUGAAAUGCGUAGAGAUGUGGAGGAACACCAGUGGCGAAGGCGGCUUACUGGCUCAUUCUAGACGCUGAGGUGCGAAAGCGUGGGGAGCAAACAGGAUUAGAUACCCCGGUAGUCCCUGUCUCUUAUAC